CCCUCGAGAUGCGUAAUCGAAAGGGCCUCCUAGAUCAAAGAUCCCAAGGAACGAACUGGCGGAUCGAGGAGCUCAUCAGACGAGGUCAGCUCAACAGAUUCAUCCGAUGCCGACCUGAAGGUAGGGAGGAUUGGCCGAGGGCCCUACCACGGCCAGAGCCGCCAAGGAGGGAGGAACAGCCUAAAGAUCGGCCUCCAAUCGAAAUUGUCGACACCAUCUCUAGGGGACCCCG
This 232-nucleotide long non-coding RNA is filed under the name Elaeis guineensis (African oil palm). RNAcentral describes it as "long non-coding RNA (EGUI_LNC039535)". The record is from RNAcentral. Lineage: Eukaryota; Viridiplantae; Streptophyta; Magnoliopsida; Arecales; Arecaceae.